Molecule: non-coding RNA, 22 nt
Filed under: Arabidopsis thaliana (thale cress)
Lineage: Eukaryota; Viridiplantae; Streptophyta; Magnoliopsida; Brassicales; Brassicaceae
Source: RNAcentral
UGAAGGGAUGCCUCCACGUAGC